RNAcentral lists this ribosomal RNA (496 nucleotides) under uncultured bacterium. RNAcentral's name for it is "partial 16S ribosomal RNA". It matches the Rfam family "Bacterial small subunit ribosomal RNA", at positions 29 to 507 of the family's 1533-position model. The record is from RNAcentral.
AUGAACGCUGGCGGCGUGCCUAAUACAUGCAAGUCGAGCGAACAGACGAGGAGCUUGCUCCUCUGACGUUAGCGGCGGACGGGUGAGUAACACGUGGAUAACCUACCUAUAAGACUGGGAUAACUUCGGGAAACCGGAGCUAAUACCGGAUAAUAUAUUGAACCGCAUGGUUCAAUAGUGAAAGACGGUUUUGCUGGCACUUAUAGAUGGACCCGCGCCGCAUUAGCUAGUUGGUAAGGUAACGGCUUACCAAGGCAACGAUGCGUAGCCGACCUGAGAGGGUGAUCGGCCACACUGGAACUGAGACACGGUCCAGACUCCUACGGGAGGCAGCAGUAGGGAAUCUUCCGCAAUGGGCGAAAGCUUGACGGAGCAACGCCGCGUGAGUGAUGAAGGUCUUCGGAUCGUAAAACUCUGUUAUUAGGGAAGAACAAAUGUGUAAGUAACUAUGCACGUCUUGACGGUACCUAAUCAGAAAGCCACGGCUAACUACGUG